Molecule: ribosomal RNA, 817 nt
Filed under: Saccharomyces x bayanus
Lineage: Eukaryota; Fungi; Ascomycota; Saccharomycetes; Saccharomycetales; Saccharomycetaceae
Description: eukaryotic LSU rRNA
Rfam family: 5.8S ribosomal RNA (bases 369-522)
Source: RNAcentral
GGAUCAUUAAGAAAUUUAAUAAUUUUGAUAUUGGAUUUUUUUGUUUUGGCAAGAGCGUGAGAGCUUUUACUGGGCAAGAAGACAAGAGAUGGAGAGUCCAGCCGGGCCUGCGCUUAAGUGCGCGGUCUUGCUAGGCUUGCAAGUUUCUUUCUUGCUAUUCCAAACAGUGAGACUUCUCUGUUUUUGUUAUAGGACAAUUAAAACCGUUUCAAUACAACACACUGUGGAGUUUUUAUACUUUUGCAACUUUUUCUUUGGGUUUCGAGCAAUCGAGCCCAGAGGUAACAAACACAAACAAUUUUAUUUAUUCAUUAAAUUUUUGUCAAAAACAAGAAUUUUCGUAACUGGAAAUUUUAAAAAUAAUUAAAAACUUUCAACAACGGAUCUCUUGGUUCUCGCAUCGAUGAAGAACGCAGCGAAAUGCGAUACGUAAUGUGAAUUGCAGAAUUCCGUGAAUCAUCGAAUCUUUGAACGCACAUUGCGCCCCUUGGUAUUCCAGGGGGCAUGCCUGUUUGAGCGUCAUUUCCUUCUCAAACAUUCUGUUUGGUAGUGAGUGAUACUCUCUGGAGUUAACUUGAAAUUGCUGGCCUUUUCAUUGGAUGUUUUUUUUCCAAAGAGAGGUUUCUCUGCGUGCUUGAGGUAUAAUGCAAGUACGGUCGUUUUAGGUUUUACCAACUGCGGCUAAUCUUUUUUGUACUGAGCGUAUUGAAACGUUAUCGAUAAGAAGAGAGCGUCUAGGCGAACAAUGUUCUUAAAGUUUGACCUCAAAUCAGGUAGGAGUACCCCGCUGAACUUAAGCAUAUCAAUAAGCGGAGGA